AUGUUGGGCUGGGUAGGUAGUCGAAAAGCCACGGUUAGUUUGCAAGACGGCGUGCAGGAGUAAUUAAGAUGGACUAUUCAGAACAGGUGCGGGACCGUCGAGUUUGGAGCAGGACCGACGAGAUACCCUUUUCCCACAUUAAGUUUUGUUUUGCCAUGGUCUUUAAAUGUCUACAAAUAAACUGUCAAUGGAGCACCGACGCUAACCAGUGUCGGACUCGGACCACAGAGAUCGAGCUGACCGAGUGACGGGUAUCGGAGCAGUGCCGGCGGGGGCAGCGAAGCGACAGACACAUCCAGGUCUGUUUCUGAGGGUCGACAGUUCACCUCACCCACCUCAAGUUCAACUCUGGAGACUUUCAUUUAGGGUCUGAGGUUUAAAAACACCCUCUAGUUCAGUUCCAGAGAGUGGCUCUAGUCCAUUGCAGUCUGGCCUUCUUCCAAUCCAGCCGUAAUUACGUUUUAGGACUUCUGCUCCGGUGUGGCAGCAGGCGUGGCCAGACUCUCCGGCUUCACAAUCUGAUGACGUACUCUGCAUACGCCAGUCCGUUGACACUGGGUCGACCUAUAACCGAGUGGUGUCCAGGGGGGGCGUGGGCCAUUUUCAUCGCACUAAACUGAAGAAAUGACUUACCCAGCGUCACUCUGCAGAACAGCAUCUGCCUAAAAUACAAACACACAGAAUGAUGCCGUGAAGACUGGAACUCCUUGUCGUCUGGUGCCAGGUCGAUCAGCACGGUGCCCUGGCUGGAGCAGUGGAACGUCAGAUAUGGGUUUGCACCUACAAACAAAAAACAAAUGAUGACACUGACACUAAAUUUCUUAUCAUACAUUACAGGUACAGCCACAUAUAUAAACCCAGGAGUUUGAUGUAUAGAUGAUGUAAAGUAAGUAUUUUGAGUGUUUUUCAACGAAUCUGGAGACUAAAUAACAGAACUUGGCGUUAUAAAGAGAACAUGCUUGAUUGUUUUAACAUUUCCAGUGUUUAUUUGAAGAUUCAAUAUUUAUGUCAUUUCAAUAUAGUAAAUCUGAUAUAGGAACAGGUGUGUGUUUGUGUGUCUGUGUGUUUCUGUUUGUUUCCUGACCUUGCUGGCCUCCCAGCAGCCUCUCGAUGCCCUUGAUGAGUUUGUGUCUGUGGCCGUAAGCGUUGAUGCCGAUCUCUUUCAGCUCCUCGUGACCCAUAUCUGCCAGCACAUCCAGCGAAAUCUGCCCGGAAACAACAAAUGAGUCAUUGGAGCAGAGACAGUCUACAGCGAUGCUACAGCUCUGCAAGGCUGUACUUAGGCACAGUGGUGCUCUGAGCUAAAUGCUAACACUAACAUCCUCACAACGACAGUGCUAACAUGCUGAUGCUAAGCAGGCGAGAUAUUUACCACAUCACCAUCAUUUACCAUGAUCACCAUCUUAUUUUAGCAUAUAAGUUAACAUUUGCGAAUUAGCACUAAACACAAAUUACAGUUGAGGCUGAUGGCUGAUAGCUUUGCAAGUAUUUAGCCAUAAACCUAGCUAUAAUAAGCAAUAAAAAUGUUGGACAAAUGAAAAUGUUGAUGACCCAAGAUAAAAAGUUGAGGGAUUAGCGAAGUAAUUACAUCCUGAGGGGAACUUGGAUGUCUGAACCAAAUUUUAUGGCAAUCCAUCUGUUGUUGAGAUAAUUCAGUCUGGACCAAACAUUGCCAUCCCUUGAGCCACGCCGCUAGAAUGGUUAUGAUCUGACAAUGAGGAAUGUAAAAUGGAACAAAAACGAACAAAAGAAAACUAAUUAAAUAAUUGAGUUCAAACCAAGACAGAAUUAACCCUGUAAAAAACAAACUAUAAGCCUAUAGAAAUUAGUAAAAGUUGGAUAUUGACAUUAAAAAAAGUCACCUAAACAAUAUUUCACUUUCACUCGCAAUUUGAAGCUCUUUCCUGGUCUUUCCACCUUUCAUCCUCAUCUCUUAUACCUAUGUGCCUCUCCAGUUCUUUGCACCUUUUGCUGUUCCCUUUCACUAUUGCCUUUCCCAGACACAUAAAGAAAUGUGUGUGUACCUGUUCCCGCUGGAAGGUGUCUCGGAGGUGUUCCAGCCCUAGGCUCUUCAAAAACUGGUUGAUGGUCAUGUCGAGCAGAGCUGCAGAGACACAGAGAGACCCAGAUGCUCCGUCUGCUGGUCCGGUGGCCCCGCCCACAGUGAUGUCACUGAGGGGCGCGGUCAGGUUGUCUAUGCUGCUGGCUGCAGACAGGCAGGAUGGGGAUGGAG
Molecule: long non-coding RNA, 2233 nt
Organism: Sander lucioperca (pikeperch)
Lineage: Eukaryota; Metazoa; Chordata; Actinopteri; Perciformes; Percidae
Exons: 6
Source: RefSeq, a predicted model, not a curated record